GGCUUGAUGUUUCUCCGGUAGAUGGAAAUUUUAAUGAGUAAACCUUUUUCUAAAGUUCAAUCUCUAAUUACAUCACCGGGUAGACAUUCAUCCAC
This 95-nucleotide microRNA precursor is filed under the name Gyrodactylus salaris (gyrodactylosis fluke). RNAcentral's name for it is "microRNA gsa-mir-36 precursor". Its record names the gene gsa-mir-36. The record is from miRBase by way of RNAcentral. Lineage: Eukaryota; Metazoa; Platyhelminthes; Monogenea; Gyrodactylidea; Gyrodactylidae.